ACGGGGGGGGCAAGCGUUGUUCGGAAUUACUGGGCGUAAAGGGCUCGUAGGCGGCCAACUAAGUCGGACGUGAAAUCCCUCGGCUUAACCGGGGAACUGCGUCCGAUACUGGAUGGCUUGAGUUUGGGAGAGGGAUGCGGAAUUCCAGGUGUAGCGGUGAAAUGCGUAGAUAUCUGGAGGAACACCGGUGGCGAAGGCGGCAUCCUGGACCACAACUGACGCUGAGGCGCGAAAGCUAGGGGAGCAAACAGGA
This 253-nucleotide ribosomal RNA is filed under the name uncultured prokaryote. RNAcentral describes it as "partial 16S ribosomal RNA". It matches the Rfam family "Bacterial small subunit ribosomal RNA", at positions 525 to 777 of the family's 1533-position model. The record is from RNAcentral.